Molecule: ribosomal RNA, 1529 nt
Filed under: Escherichia coli
Lineage: Bacteria; Pseudomonadati; Pseudomonadota; Gammaproteobacteria; Enterobacterales; Enterobacteriaceae
Description: bacterial SSU rRNA
Rfam family: Bacterial small subunit ribosomal RNA
Source: RNAcentral
AGAGUUUGAUCAUGGCUCAGAUUGAACGCUGGCGGCAGGCCUAACACAUGCAAGUCGAACGGUAACAGGAAGAAGCUUGCUUCUUUGCUGACGAGUGGCGGACGGGUGAGUAAUGUCUGGGAAACUGCCUGAUGGAGGGGGAUAACUACUGGAAACGGUAGCUAAUACCGCAUAACGUCGCAAGACCAAAGAGGGGGACCUUCGGGCCUCUUGCCAUCGGAUGUGCCCAGAUGGGAUUAGCUAGUAGGUGGGGUAACGGCUCACCUAGGCGACGAUCCCUAGCUGGUCUGAGAGGAUGACCAGCCACACUGGAACUGAGACACGGUCCAGACUCCUACGGGAGGCAGCAGUGGGGAAUAUUGCACAAUGGGCGCAAGCCUGAUGCAGCCAUGCCGCGUGUAUGAAGAAGGCCUUCGGGUUGUAAAGUACUUUCAGCGGGGAGGAAGGGAGUAAAGUUAAUACCUUUGCUCAUUGACGUUACCCGCAGAAGAAGCACCGGCUAACUCCGUGCCAGCAGCCGCGGUAAUACGGAGGGUGCAAGCGUUAAUCGGAAUUACUGGGCGUAAAGCGCACGCAGGCGGUUUGUUAAGUCAGAUGUGAAAUCCCCGGGCUCAACCUGGGAACUGCAUCUGAUACUGGCAAGCUUGAGUCUCGUAGAGGGGGGUAGAAUUCCAGGUGUAGCGGUGAAAUGCGUAGAGAUCUGGAGGAAUACCGGUGGCGAAGGCGGCCCCCUGGACGAAGACUGACGCUCAGGUGCGAAAGCGUGGGGAGCAAACAGGAUUAGAUACCCUGGUAGUCCACGCCGUAAACGAUGUCGACUUGGAGGUUGUGCCCUUGAGGCGUGGCUUCCGGAGCUAACGCGUUAAGUCGACCGCCUGGGGAGUACGGCCGCAAGGUUAAAACUCAAAUGAAUUGACGGGGGCCCGCACAAGCGGUGGAGCAUGUGGUUUAAUUCGAUGCAACGCGAAGAACCUUACCUGGUCUUGACAUCCACAGAACUUUCCAGAGAUGGAUUGGUGCCUUCGGGAACUGUGAGACAGGUGCUGCAUGGCUGUCGUCAGCUCGUGUUGUGAAAUGUUGGGUUAAGUCCCGCAACGAGCGCAACCCUUAUCCUUUGUUGCCAGCGGUCCGGCCGGGAACUCAAAGGAGACUGCCAGUGAUAAACUGGAGGAAGGUGGGAUGACGUCAAGUCAUCAUGGCCCUUACGACCAGGGCUACACACGUGCUACAAUGGCGCAUACAAAGAGAAGCGACCUCGCGAGAGCAAGCGGACCUCAUAAAGUGCGUCGUAGUCCGGAUUGGAGUCUGCAACUCGACUCCAUGAAGUCGGAAUCGCUAGUAAUCGUGGAUCAGAAUGCCACGGUGAAUACGUUCCCGGGCCUUGUACACACCGCCCGUCACACCAUGGGAGUGGGUUGCAAAAGAAGUAGGUAGCUUAACCUUCGGGAGGGCGCUUACCACUUUGUGAUUCAUGACUGGGGUGAAGUCGUAACAAGGUAACCGUAGGGGAACCUGCGGUUGGAUCACCU